RNAcentral lists this transfer RNA (63 nucleotides) under Luperomorpha xanthodera. RNAcentral describes it as "tRNA-Asp". Lineage: Eukaryota; Metazoa; Arthropoda; Insecta; Coleoptera; Chrysomelidae. The record is from RNAcentral.
AAAAAUUUAGUUAAAAAAUAACAUUAGUUUGUCAAACUAAAAUUAUCAAAAUGAUAAUUUUUU